AGCUCCAAUAGCGUAUAUUAAAGUUGUUGCAGUUAAAAAGCUCGUAGUUGAAUUUCGGGAUUAGUGCGCCGGUCGUGCCUUCGGUAUGUACUGGUGUUACUGGUUCCUACCUUCUGACGAACCGUCAUGUCAUUAAUUUGGUGUGGCGGGGAAUCAGGACUGUUACUUUGAAAAAAUUAGAGUGUUUAAAGCAGGCUCGCGCUUGAAUACAUUAGCAUGGAAUAAUGAAAUAGGACGUUCGAUCCUAUUUUGUUGGUUUCUAGGAUUGACGUAAUGAUUAAUAGGGAUAGUUGGGGGCAUUAGUAUUCAAUUGUCAGAGGUGAAAUUCUUGGAUUUAUUGAAGACUAACUACUGCGAAAGCAUUUGCCAAGGAUGUUUUCA
This 381-nucleotide ribosomal RNA is filed under the name uncultured eukaryote. RNAcentral's name for it is "SSU rRNA". It matches the Rfam family "Eukaryotic small subunit ribosomal RNA", at positions 587 to 972 of the family's 1831-position model. The record is from RNAcentral.